UGGGGAAUUUUGCACAAUGGGGGAAACCCUGAUGCAGCGACGCCGCGUGAUUUAGAAGGCCUUCGGGUUGUAAAAAUCUUUUCUAUGGGAAGAAAAUGACAGUACCAUAGGAAUAAGGACCGGCUAAUUACGUGCCAGUAGCCGCGGUAAUACGUAAGGUCCGAGCGUUGUCCGGAAUCAUUGGGCGUAAAGGGUACGUAGGCGGGUAAGCAAGUUAGAAGUGAAAUCCUAUAGCUCAACUAUAGUAAGCUUUUAAAACUGCUCAUCUUGAGGUAUGGAAGGGAAAGUGGAAUUCCUAGUGUAGCGGUGAAAUGCGCAGAUAUUAGGAGGAAUACCGGUGGCGAAGGCGACUUUCUGGCCAUAACCUGACGCUGAGGUACGAAAGCGUGGGUAGCAAACAGG
Molecule: ribosomal RNA, 402 nt
Filed under: bacterium
Lineage: Bacteria
Description: partial 16S ribosomal RNA
Rfam family: Bacterial small subunit ribosomal RNA
Source: RNAcentral